This is a long non-coding RNA of Carlito syrichta (Philippine tarsier), 407 nucleotides long. RefSeq lists it as uncharacterized. The record is from RefSeq and is a predicted model, not a curated record. NCBI's taxonomy places the organism in Eukaryota, Metazoa, Chordata, Mammalia, Primates, Tarsiidae. The transcript is spliced from 3 exons.
CCUCUCUCGCCAUCCCAGACAAGAGACUGCAAGGUGAGGCUUUACCUUUGAGGAUGGAGGCCUCUGAGGACUGGCAGAGGACUGGGGACAGACUGGGAAGAAAGGCAGAGUCAUUGUCAAGAGGAAAUGAGGUAAUCAACGUGAAAGCUGGCUCUCAGCUGUACAGGCAACACCAGUGACUGAGAAGGUCGUGGACUGCAGAUGGUGCAGCCUUGGUCGGUGAAGAACCUGUCAUCCGAGUGGCUGAGUCACCACAUGGAGAACACUCAUCUGGAACACUGUCGGGUCUGUUGUAGAUACUGUGUGAACAAGAAACAAAACUUUAAGUCACUGAGGUGGUGGAGUUAUUUAUUACUGCAGCAUAGCUCAGACUCUCCUGACUAACAAGGUGCUCAAUAAACAUUAGC